AGGAGAUAGUAUAUUGGUAGUACUAAAAGUUUUGGGCUUUUAAGUUUUAGUUCGAGUCUUGAUCUUCUAA
Molecule: transfer RNA, 70 nt
Filed under: Calamaria septentrionalis (Hong Kong dwarf snake)
Lineage: Eukaryota; Metazoa; Chordata; Lepidosauria; Squamata; Calamariidae
Description: tRNA-Gln
Rfam family: tRNA
About the family: Transfer RNA (tRNA) molecules are approximately 80 nucleotides in length.
Source: RNAcentral